ACUGAGCGUGGUGACAUCGCACGGGGUGGGGCACUGUGUAGAAAACAGCCCUGUUCGAUUGGACCAGGAAACCCUCGUGCUACCAACAACCGUGGUUAACUUUGAGGAGAAAGGAAAGGACUUUUUUUUUUUUUUCUUAUUCUUCACUUUGAAGGGGAGUGUAAACUAUAAAGUUACCGCCACUCAGGGAAGGAAACCCGGUGUAAUCCCAUGUCCCCCAAACCUUCCCGACUCUAUCUGGCUCUUCUUGGGACACCCCAGACUCCACUGCUCCGGGGUCCCUCUCCUCUGGGUUUGGAAGUCCCUCGGUUUCUGCUGGAACCGCCACGUCCAGGGCUUCACCUCGCCAAGAGACAGCGAUCCUCGGGAUGGAGGGAGUGGGUCGGUGGAGGCAUCGGGGAGAACUCCAGGCAGAAAAUUAAAGCUCUCCUUCGUCUCUAUUUUCCCAAACUUUCGAUGCCUCUGCUUUCUUCUGCCGGUGCUCUACCCUCCAGACGCUGGUUCCUACUGGACACGUUGAAUCUUUCAUUGGCCUGGAACUCACCAAAGAGACUAAGAUGGCUAGCCAGGAAGCCCCAUGGAUCUGCCUGAGUGCCUCACAGGCAUUGGGAUGACAAGCACCAUGGCUUCUAGAGAUGGAACUCAGAUCUGAGCUACAGCUCCAAGCCUCUUUCCUGACAACAAGUUAAAAGUAAUUUUUUCAUAAACAUGUUUAUGAUGCUCCUUACAAUGUUUGCCAUUUGACAAAGUAGAAUAAAGCCUUUUCCAAACAAGUUCAAGUAGGAGGAUUCUGACACUUUAUCAACAUUUGUUUAAAUGAACAGUACAUAGCAUAGUUAGUGGAAGGGAGAAUUAAUCCUGCUUUCUGACCCUCAGAGCACCUACAUAGGUCCAGGAGUGUCCUGACAUUUUCCCUAUCCCAGGGAGUAGAUGUCUCAGUCCCAUCUGAUACUUGAUUGCUCUUGCAGGUACAAGAAAACGGAAGUGGCUUGGAAUUUUCCUUCUGCUCUUCCCCUCAGACUGUAAUCAUCCUGAAAGGAGCAAAAACAUUCUAAAAAGUGCCUGUCCCUUGGAUUGUCAGACCACUGAGGCAGUGGACCCUGAGGACUCUGAAAUUGCCUGGGGAUCUCACACUAGAAAAAAGGGAAAGGCUGGUGGCAGCCGGAGGAGGAAUGUGACUCUCAGGAAGAGAUUUCACACAGUUCUGACAACUUGUCAGAGCAUCAGGCCGGACCUAAUGGAGCCUGGACAAGGAUUGGUCAGUUUACUAGCAAGACCACACCUUGACCAGGACUGCUUAACUAUGCAUACCUUUUGCCUCUGUUUAAACCUAAGCUUCAUCAAAACCUAGAAGAAGGAUUUGUGGAUCACUAGGCCUCUUUAUUUGUUAAUAUGAUAUGAAAGUUUGUGCAUAGUCUUA
This is a long non-coding RNA of Peromyscus leucopus (white-footed mouse), 1420 nucleotides long. RefSeq lists it as uncharacterized. NCBI's taxonomy places the organism in Eukaryota, Metazoa, Chordata, Mammalia, Rodentia, Cricetidae. The transcript has 2 exons. The record is from RefSeq and is a predicted model, not a curated record.